Quercus robur (English oak) is the source of this 479-nucleotide long non-coding RNA. RefSeq lists it as uncharacterized. The transcript has 2 exons. The record is from RefSeq and is a predicted model, not a curated record. Lineage: Eukaryota; Viridiplantae; Streptophyta; Magnoliopsida; Fagales; Fagaceae.
UUUUUAGCCCACACAACAGCAAACAAGAUACUGGAAGUCUCCCUAUGCUCCAGCAGGUGGUGAAGAUGGAGGAAGUGCGUCAUCUGAGGAUGGGACUACCAAUGUAUGAGACGCUGCUGUUGGCUCUUUACUCUUGUGAGAACUGCUAAUUGUUAUUCGGAUACCUACAUAGGUAAUGAGUACUUUUCUGUUGUUUUCCAAAUAAAGUCUGGUAAAAAUGUUUUGUUGUUAGCUAAAGGAACAAACUAUAAUUAUAAUGCAACUGAGAUUUAAGAAGCUUCAGUUUCUGCUGUUCCAUAUGUUUUUCUGUGUGGGACAUCGCUGCUCAUUUUAUGAUAAAUGUAAAUAAAAAGGCUUAUGUAUGACUAGCAAAACAAUUUUUCUGCUGUUUAUUAUUACAGGUAUCUGGUUGUAUUGUUGAAACUAUACAUGUCCUUUGUAUUUUACUUGGGAAAUGACAAUUGUCUCCAAUUAACUCU